RNAcentral lists this long non-coding RNA (706 nucleotides) under Olea europaea (common olive). RNAcentral describes it as "long non-coding RNA (OEUR_LNC007394)". Lineage: Eukaryota; Viridiplantae; Streptophyta; Magnoliopsida; Lamiales; Oleaceae. The record is from RNAcentral.
UCUCAGCCAAUUAUAAAAUAAACCCCAAUAAAACUUUGAAUUUCACUAAUCAACAUUUAAAUUUUGACUAAAAAAAUUUGGGUGGUAACAAUCACCAUUGCCGUCACUGCCACCAUCCCACCCACAACCAGCACCACCAUUGCCGUCACGAACACCACAUCACCGCAAUAGCACCAACAGGUCCGACACCGACACCAACACCACCAGAAGAUCACCGUCACAUCACCAACGCCACCAAUAAAACCCGAACAUAAUUUCUCUCAGGCAGGUAGCGCCAAACGAACACCACCACCACCACUAAAUUUUGAAGUGACGACUACCAUGAUGUCGUCUAAAGGGAGCAAACUCUACUUGAUCAUCGCAUUGAUGAUCAGAAAAUGAGACGGAAGCGUCGCAUCGGCAUCAGUGCUCCGUGCUUCUUUGCACAGCACAUCGAAGAGAGAGACGGAGAGGCGGCGAAGAGAGAAACGAAGUGACAGCGACUUGUGGCAAAGAGAGAAACUGGACAUGGUGAAGAGAAAGACUCAAAGACAGGAGUUGAACGCACACUGUGGUGUUCCAUUCUAUACACCAGGCUUGGAGGUGGUAGUUGACAGCCACGGUGGCGAUGACAGUCCAUUCGUGGAGGGAGAGGGAAGAGAGAGAAACGAGAGAAAGAGAAUAUGGGAGAAGAGACGAGAUAGAGAGAGGGUAGAUGAUAGUGGGC